GAAAUGCGAUAAUUAAUGUGAAUUGCAGAAUUCAGUGAAUCAUCGAGUCUUUGAACGCACAUUGCGCCCCCUGGUACUCCGGGGGGCAUGCCUGUCCGAGCGUCAUUGCUGCCCUCAAGCACGGCUUGUGUGUUGGGCUUCCGUCCCUGGCAACGGGGACGGGCCCAAAAGGCAGUGGCGGCACCAUGUCUGGUCCUCGAGCGUAUGGGGCUUUGUCACCCGCUCCCGUAGGUCCAGCUGGCAGCUAGCCUCGCAACCAAUCUUUUUAACCAGGUUGACCUCGGAUCAGGUAGGGAUACCCGCUGAACUUAAGC
This 314-nucleotide unclassified non-coding RNA is filed under the name plant metagenome. RNAcentral describes it as "partial contains 5.8S ribosomal RNA, internal transcribed spacer 2, and large subunit ribosomal RNA". The stretch from base 1 to 105 matches the Rfam family "5.8S ribosomal RNA", at positions 50 to 154 of the family's 154-position model. The record is from RNAcentral.